This 368-nucleotide ribosomal RNA is filed under the name uncultured bacterium. RNAcentral describes it as "bacterial SSU rRNA". It matches the Rfam family "Bacterial small subunit ribosomal RNA", at positions 527 to 896 of the family's 1533-position model. The record is from RNAcentral.
GGAGGGUGCGAGCGUUAUCCGGAAUUACUGGGUUUAAAGGGUGCGUAGGCGGCCAUGUAAGUCAGGAGUGAAAGUUUGCGGCUCAACCGUAAAAUUGCUUUUGAUACUGCAUGGCUGGAAUCAGGAUGAGGUCAGCGGAAUGUGGCAUGUAGCGGUGAAAUGCAUAGAUAUGCCAUAGAACACCMAUUGCGAAGGCAGCUGGCUAGACCUGUAUUGACGCUGAGGCACGAAAGCGUGGGGAGCGAACAGGAUUAGAUACCCUGGUAGUCCACGCCCUAAACGAUGCUUACUCGACGUAUGAAGCUUGUCUUUGUGCGUCCAAGGGAAACCGUUAAGUAAGCCACCUGGGGAGUACGACCGCAAGGUUG